ACGCUUACAUCGUACCCAACAAAACUGAGCAAGACGCACAGAAAAAAGUCAAGGCAGACCUAAGCAGUUUUGUGAAGCCUUUAGAGGUUCAUCUGAUAGAUACCUCUGGAGAAGAAGACGAGGUCAUCGGUGAAAUGCUGUGUCUUCGGGGCUAUGCUCGGCGGCCAUGAGGCUCUCCCACCUCGAAGUGAGCACACAUAUUCAUCCAGGAUGUGUGUUUUAUCGUCAUGGGCAAACGUCAAUGGACCUUCACCUCAAGAUUUUGCUCGAUAGUCGUCGGGUCUAAAAAUCCUGCAAGAAAAGUCACACAUACCCACAUGAUGUGCGGAGAGAAAAGUCAUUGAUGAACAGACUUUAAAGUUUUGCCAGGGCUGCGCUUGGUGGUCCAGGGUCCAUCCACUUGGACUGAGAGAGCACAAACACAUACAGGCUGACGGCGAUAUUUCUGAGUACCAGAUGAGUCCACAAUAAUGUGUAUUUAAUACUGAAUUAUUGAUGAUGUUUCAUUCUUGCUUUGAAAAAUAAAAGGAACAAACAAAAUGUAACCCAACA
RNAcentral lists this long non-coding RNA (552 nucleotides) under Aplysia californica (California sea hare). Its description in RNAcentral is "uncharacterized LOC106012832". Lineage: Eukaryota; Metazoa; Mollusca; Gastropoda; Aplysiida; Aplysiidae. The record is from RNAcentral.